GUGAGGAAUAUUGGGCAAUGGGCGCAAGCCUGACCCAGCCAUGCCGCGUGAAGGAUGACGGCCCUAUGGGUUGUAAACUUCUUUUGUACGGGAAAAAACCACCGGUCGUGACCGGUGCUGAUGGUACCGUAAGAAUAAGCAUCGGCUAACUCCGUGCCAGCAGCCGCGGUAAUACGGAGGAUGCAAGCGUUAUCCGGAUUCAUUGGGUUUAAAGGGUGCGCAGGCGGAAUAAUAAGUCAGUGGUGAAAUCCUACGGCUCAACUGUAGAACUGCCAUUGAUACUGUUAUUCUUGAGUACACUUGAAGUGGGCGGAAUGUGUCAUGUAGCGGUGAAAUGCUUAGAUAUGACACAGAACACCGAUCGCGAAGGCAGCUCACUAAAUUGUAACUGACGCUCAUGCACGAAAGCGUGGGGAUCAAACAGGAUUAGAAACCCGGGUAGUCC
This 445-nucleotide ribosomal RNA is filed under the name uncultured bacterium. Its description in RNAcentral is "partial 16S ribosomal RNA". It matches the Rfam family "Bacterial small subunit ribosomal RNA", at positions 354 to 796 of the family's 1533-position model. The record is from RNAcentral.